CGCCUGCCAGCCCGCUCAGAACUUAAGGAAGUUGACGGGCCGCACAAGCGGAGGAGCAUGUGGUUAAUUCGAUGAUACGCGAGGAACCUUACCUGGGCUCGAACGUAAGAUGACUGUAGGUGAAAGCUUACAUCUCUUCGGAGCAUUUUACGAGGUGCUGCAUGGUUGUCGUCAGCUCGUGCCGUGAGGUGUCGGGUUAAGUCCCAUAACGAGCGCAACCCCUACCUUAGUUGCCAUCAGGUUAAGCUGGGGACUCUAAAGGAACUGCCUACGCAAGUAGUGAGGAAGGCGGGGAUGACGUCAAAUCAGCACGGCCCUUACGUCCAGGGCUACACACGUGCUACAAUGGCCGAUACAGAGGGCAGCUACCUGGUGACAGGAUGCAAAUCUCCAAAGUCGGUCUCAGUUCGGAUCGGAGUCUGCAACCCGACUCCGUGAAGUUGGAUUCGCUAGUAAUCGCGCAUCAGCCAUGGCGCGGUGAAUACGUUCCCGGGCCUU
This 498-nucleotide ribosomal RNA is filed under the name uncultured Sphingobacteriales bacterium. RNAcentral describes it as "bacterial SSU rRNA". It matches the Rfam family "Bacterial small subunit ribosomal RNA", at positions 903 to 1382 of the family's 1533-position model. The record is from RNAcentral. Lineage: Bacteria; Pseudomonadati; Bacteroidota; Sphingobacteriia; Sphingobacteriales.